CUUCGGGAGGACGCUCACCACUUUGUGGUUCAUGACUGGGGUGAAGUCGUAACAAGGUAGCCCUAGGGGAACCUGGGGCUGGAUCACCUCCUUACCU
Molecule: ribosomal RNA, 97 nt
Filed under: Shewanella sp. SR44-3
Lineage: Bacteria; Pseudomonadati; Pseudomonadota; Gammaproteobacteria; Alteromonadales; Shewanellaceae
Description: partial 16S ribosomal RNA
Rfam family: Bacterial small subunit ribosomal RNA
Source: RNAcentral